RNAcentral lists this ribosomal RNA (443 nucleotides) under uncultured bacterium. RNAcentral describes it as "partial 16S ribosomal RNA". It matches the Rfam family "Bacterial small subunit ribosomal RNA", at positions 338 to 795 of the family's 1533-position model. The record is from RNAcentral.
CCUACGGGAGGCAGCAGUGGGGAAUAUUGCACAAUGGGCGAAAGCCUGAUGCAGCAACGCCGCGUGAAGGAAGAAGUGUUUCGGCAUGUAAACCUCUAUCAGCAGGGACGAAAGAAAUGACGGUACCUGAAUAAGAAGCCCCGACUAACUACGUGCCAGCAGCCGCGGUAAUACGUAGGGUGCAAGCGUUAUUCUGAAUUACUUGGAGUAAAGGGGGAGUAGGCGGGAAGGUAAGGCAGGUGUGAAAGCAUUGGGCAUAACCCGCGGAUUGCAUUUGAAACUUGCUAGCGGGAGUACAGGAGAGGAAAGCGGAAUUCCUAGUGUAGCGGUGAAAUGCGUAGAUAUUAGGAGGAACACCAGUGGCGAAGGCGGCUUACUGGACUGUAACUGACGUUGAGGCUCGAAGGCGUGGGGAGCAAACAGGAUUAGAUACCCGGGUAGUC